GACGAACGCUGGCGGCGUGCUUAACACAUGCAAGUCGAACGGAAAGGCCCUGCUUGCAGGGUAUUCGAGUGGCGCACGGGUGAGUAACACGCGGGUGAUCUGCCCUGCACUUCGGGAUAAGCCUGGGAAACUGGGUCUAAUACCGGAUAGGAGCCAUUUUUAGUGUGAUGGUUGGAAAGUUUUUUCGGUGUAGGGUGAGCUCGCGGGCUAUCAGCUUGUUGGUGGGGUAAUGGCCUACCAAGGCGGCGAAGGGUAGCCGGCCAGGGGGGGUGGACGGCCACAUUGGGACUGGGAUACGGCCCCGACUCCCACCGGAGGCAAGAGGGGGGAAAUAUGCCAAAUGGGCGCAAGGCUGAUGCAGCGACGCCGCGGGGGGGAUGACGGCCUUCGGGUUGUAAACUCGUUUCGCUAGGGACGAAGCUUUUUGUGACGGUACCUAGAGAAGAAGCACCGGCUAACUACGUG
Molecule: ribosomal RNA, 465 nt
Filed under: uncultured bacterium
Lineage: Bacteria
Description: partial 16S ribosomal RNA
Rfam family: Bacterial small subunit ribosomal RNA
Source: RNAcentral